Molecule: ribosomal RNA, 468 nt
Filed under: uncultured Desulfocapsa sp.
Lineage: Bacteria; Pseudomonadati; Thermodesulfobacteriota; Desulfobulbia; Desulfobulbales; Desulfocapsaceae
Description: bacterial SSU rRNA
Rfam family: Bacterial small subunit ribosomal RNA
Source: RNAcentral
GACGGGGCCCGCACAAGCGGUGGAGCAUGUGGUUUAAUUCGACGCAACGCGUAAGAACCUUACCAGGUCUUGACAUCCGAUGCUAUUUCUAGAGAUAGAAAGUUACUUCGGUACAUCGGUGACAGGUGGUGCAUGGUUGUCGUCAGCUCGUGUCGUGAGAUGUUGGGUUAAGUCCCGCAACGAGCGCAACCCCUAUUGUUAGUUGCCAUCAUUCAGUUGGGCACUCUAAAGAGACUGCCGGUGUCAAACCGGAGGAAGGUGGGGAUGACGUCAAGUCCUCAUGGCCUUUAUGACCAGGGCUACACACGUACUACAAUGGCCGGUACAAAGGGCAGCGACACAGCGAUGUGAAGCGAAUCCCGAAAAGCCGGUCUCAGUCCGGAUUGGAGUCUGCAACUCGACUCCAUGAAGUUGGAAUCGCUAGUAAUCGCGGAUCAGCACGCCGCGGUGAAUACGUUCCCGGGCCUU